This 452-nucleotide ribosomal RNA is filed under the name uncultured Pseudomonas sp. RNAcentral's name for it is "bacterial SSU rRNA". It matches the Rfam family "Bacterial small subunit ribosomal RNA", at positions 47 to 494 of the family's 1533-position model. The record is from RNAcentral. Lineage: Bacteria; Pseudomonadati; Pseudomonadota; Gammaproteobacteria; Pseudomonadales; Pseudomonadaceae.
CCUAACACAUGCAAGUCGAGCGGUAGAGAGAAGCUUGCUUCUCUUGAGAGCGGCGGACGGGUGAGUAAAGCCUAGGAAUCUGCCUGGUAGUGGGGGAUAACGUUCGGAAACGGACGCUAAUACCGCAUACGUCCUACGGGAGAAAGCAGGGGACCUUCGGGCCUUGCGCUAUCAGAUGAGCCUAGGUCGGAUUAGCUAGUUGGUGAGGUAAUGGCUCACCAAGGCGACGAUCCGUAACUGGUCUGAGAGGAUGAUCAGUCACACUGGAACUGAGACACGGUCCAGACUCCUACGGGAGGCAGCAGUGGGGAAUAUUGGACAAUGGGCGAAAGCCUGAUCCAGCCAUGCCGCGUGUGUGAAGAAGGUCUUCGGAUUGUAAAGCACUUUAAGUUGGGAGGAAGGGCAUUAACCUAAUACGUUAGUGUUUUGACGUUACCGACAGAAUAAGCACC